GACGAACGCUGGCGGCGUGCUUAACACAUGCAAGUCGAACGGAAAGGCCCUGCUUUUGUGGGGUGCUCGAGUGGCGAACGGGUGAGUAACACGUGAGUAACCUGCCCUUGACUUUGGGAUAACUUCAGGAAACUGGGGCUAAUAUCGGAUAGGAGCUCCUGCUGCAUGGUGGGGGUUGGAAAGUUUCGGCGGUUGGGGAUGGACUCGCGGCUUAUCAGCUUGUUGGUGAGGUAGUGGCUUACCAAGGCUUUGACGGGUAGCCGGCCUGAGAGGGUGACCGGCCACAUGGGGACUGAGAUACGGCCCAGACUCCUACGGGAGGCAGCAGUGGGGAAUAUUGCACAAUGGGCGGAAGCCUGAUGCGGCAACGCCGCGUGCGGGAUGACGGCCUUCGGGUUGUAAACCGCUUUCGCCUGUGACGAAGCGUGAGUGACGGUAAUGGGUAAAGAAGCACCGGCUAACUACGUG
Molecule: ribosomal RNA, 468 nt
Filed under: uncultured bacterium
Lineage: Bacteria
Description: partial 16S ribosomal RNA
Rfam family: Bacterial small subunit ribosomal RNA
Source: RNAcentral